This 866-nucleotide ribosomal RNA is filed under the name uncultured bacterium. Its description in RNAcentral is "bacterial SSU rRNA". It matches the Rfam family "Bacterial small subunit ribosomal RNA", at positions 624 to 1501 of the family's 1533-position model. The record is from RNAcentral.
CCAUUGAAACUGCCGGUCUUGAAUUCGGUUGAGGCAGAUGGAAUAUAACAUGUAGCGGUGAAAUGCUUAGAUAUGUUAUAGAACACCGAUUGCGAAGGCAGUCUGCUAAGUCGACAUUGACGCUGAGGCACGAAAGCGUGGGGAGCGAACAGGAUUAGAUACCCUGGUAGUCCACGCCCUAAACGUUGAUUACUCGCUGUUGGCGAUACACUGUCAGCGGCUAAGCGAAAGCGUUAAGUAAUCCACCUGGGAAGUACGACCGCAAGGUUGAAACUCAAAGGAAUUGACGGGGGCCCGCACAAGCGGAGGAGCAUGUGGUUUAAUUCGAUGAUACGCGAGGAACCUUACCUGGGCUUAAAUGUCAGAUGUUAUCUUGUGAAAGCAGGAGUCUCUUCGGAGCAUUUGGCAAGGUGCUGCAUGGCUGUCGUCAGCUCGUGCCGUGAGGUGUUGGGUUGAGUCCCGCAACGAGCGCAACCCCUAUCAUUAGUUGCCAUCAGGUAAAGCUGGGGACUCUAAUGAAACUGCCUACGUAAGUAGAGAGGAAGGCGGGGACGACGUCAAGUCAUCAUGGCCCUUACGCCCAGGGCUACACACGUGCUACAAUGGUAAGUACAAUGAGAUGCCACUUGGUAACAAGGCGCAAACCUCAAAAAGCUUAUCUCAGUUCGGAUUGAGGUCUGCAACUCGACCUCAUGAAGCUGGAUUCGCUAGUAAUCGGAUAUCAGCAAUGAUCCGGUGAAUACGUUCCCGGGCCUUGUACACACCGCCCGUCAAGCCAUGGAAGCUGGGAGAACCUGAAGUCGAUAACCGCAAGGAGUCGCCUAGGGUUAUACUAGUAACUGGGGCUAAGUCGUAACAAGGUAACC